CCCCAACUUUAAUUUUUGAAAUCCCAAACAUAAAAUCAUCAUCUUCAUCUUCCUCUCUUCGAUGAUGACAAUGGAGACAUUUACACGCGUUCUUCUUUGCUCAUUCAUCAUUGUUCUUCAGUUUUGAGCUUGGGUCCUCUUUGCUCACGUUCAAGCUUCGAUCCUCUCUGCUUGCCGUUCGAGCUUCGAUCCUCUUUGCUUGCGUUUUGAGCUUCGAUCCUCUUUGCUCUAUUUUGUUCAUUACCGUCAGUUACUAUUUCGCAGGAGAUUGAUAAAAAAUAUUUGCGAAUCUUUGGCGAACACUAAGUGCAAAUUGUGCGUAUAUAGCAAAUUGUUGCGUCAUAACCUCGUAAGAUAUUUCUAUCUUAUACUUAUUUGCUUUUAUAUGUGUAUAUUCUUGCACUUUUUUAUGUAUAAUGUUCUUUUUAUGUAAUGUUUGUCUACUAUUGAAUUAUUAAUAGAAUUCAUUCAUCUAUUAAUAUUCUUUUAAGGUGUUGUUAGCAGGUAUAUAAAUUACAUCAUUUUUGCUACCUAGAUUCUUAGUUUAACAGUAAUAUCCUAUGAACAAUUAUGUUUUCCCAAGACUCAUCCAAGAACUGGAUGAGUUUACCAAGACAUAGCCAAGAGUUUAGGGACAACGUCAAUAGAUUCUUGGACUAUGCUUACUUCUUUGAAAAUCCUCGAGGAGAGAAAAUUAUAUGUUCUUGUGCAAAAUGUUGCAACUAUUUUUGACCUUGUCAAAGACAGUCUGUUUAUAGCAAUUUGCUUUGGAUUCAUCAAGGGCUAUACACGAUGGGUUAAUCAUAGGAAAAAUAUAAUUGGUAUGGAUGUCGAUACUGGUGAUACCGAUGAGAUUUAUUCAUGCGAUGACAUUAAAGGCAUGCUAGACGAAAGGUUUAGGAAUAUGGCAGAUGUUGAGGGAGAAAAAGAAGCUAUGAACGAAGAUGCAAAGAAGUUCUAUAAUUUGGUUGACGAGGCUAGCAAGGAACUAUAUCCUGUUUGCAAUGGAUUCUCUACGUUAUCUUUCACUAUCCAACUAUACUUGUUGAAGUGUCUACACAAAUGGAGCAAUGCCUCAUUCACUUCCCUCUUGGAGUUAUUCAAAGAGGUUAUUCCUAACUUGAAUCUCCUUUCUUCUUUUAACAAAGCCAAGGCUAGUAAGAGAUUUAGGUUUUGAUUACAAAAAGAUUUAUGCAUGUCCAAAUGACUGCAUGCUAUAUUGAAAAGAGCACAAGAAUGAAACAUGUUGCCAUGAAUGUGGAACUUCUCAUUGGAUUGAGAAUGUGGUAGUUAAAGGUGACAUAUCUUCAAAGAAAGCUCACAACAUUCUUGCAAAGAUAUUGCGAUACUUUCCCUAAAUUUCCAGGCUUCAAAGGCUAUUCAUGUGCUCAAAGAUUGCUAAGAAUAUGAGUUGGUAUCAGGAGAAAGCGUAAAAAGGAUGGAAAGCUAAAGCAUCUUGCCGAUGGUCAAUCAUGGAAGGAUUUUGAUAACCGACAUUCAGAAUUUGCCAAGGAACUUCGUAACUUGAGACUUGGUUUGGCGAGCAAUGGAUUCAAUUUGUUUCGAACCAUGAGUAUAUCUCAUAGCACAUGGUCAGUUAUUUUAGUGACUUAUAACUUGCCACCAUGGAUGUGCAUGAAACAAGAAUACUUCAUGCUUUCUUUGUUGAUACUGGGACCAAAAUCGCCAUAAAAUGAUAUCGACAUGUACCUGCAACCAUUGAUCACAUAACUUUCUCUAUUAAACUCUAAUUUCCCUCAUAUUUAUACCAUUUUAAAGCUCUCACAACUAUCUUCAAUUUGAAAUAAAUUUCACUCAAUUCCAAACUCCGAGAGCCAAGUUAUGGCCCACCGAAGUUGGUUAAAAACAAGAUUUUACCAAAUUUGUCAAUCCUCAAAAGACCAAAUCUCUCAAACCAAACCAAUUUAAUCAUAGCCCAAACAAUACCAAAACAAUCCAAAAAUUCAUACCAAACAUUCCUAAACCAUUUCUCAAUCAUUCAACCAUCUAAACCAUUCAAUUCUCACCUCAUUAACUCAUUCAAAAUUCUCAAUUCAACGUAAUUCAUAUCAAUACUCAUUAUCAACAUAAUCAUCAACAAACACCAUCAACCAUUAACUAUAUCCAUUCAUUUCAUAGCAUUAUAACCAUUAUCAUUCCACAACAAUCAUAUCACCCCUCCAUUCACAAUUUCACAUACCACACAUACAUUUAAUCAACAAUUCAAUCAUUCAUACGAAUUCAACCUAUCUUAAGGCAACUAACCUAAGUCUCACGCAACAUAACAUAUUAACUAAAGGAAACCGAAACCAUACCUUGGCAGAUUCUCACACAAGCACAAAAUCACCAAAUUGAUCCUCAAACAAGUUCAACGAUACUUAGCCACCAAAAUCAACUCCAAGCAAUCCAAACUACCAAUAUCAACUCCAAUCAACAUGUAUUUACUUUAAUAUCAUUCAAUACACCCAAAUUAACACUAAUGUUCACAAACUCAAUAAACCACAAGGGUUUUGAAUUGGCUUACUUCAUUCAAUGGUAUUUGAUGAAAAAUCCAAUAAUUUUUUAAUGUUAGUUGACACCUAAACAACCAAAAUCACAAAAUUCACUCAACCACCAUAGCCAAAAACUCAAAAUCUGUUAGAGCAGAGAACUAGGUAAAAAAUUGAAAUUUUCUUACCACUUUGUUUGGAUAGAAAUGAAGAGCUCGUCGAGAGCUUCGUGUGACCGUAAACAGCACGCAAAUUGGAGCUCUGUAGCUCAAGAUAUGAGCCAAGGAAGAAGAAGACGAAUAGUGCUAAGUGGGGUUUUCUUCUUCUCUUCUCAAACCUAUUGCCUCUCUCUCUCUCACUUGUGUGCUGAAAUGAGGGUGAAUGUUCAUUAAUUGGAGCUUUUAUAUGUUGGGCUUGGGUCCAACUUGGACCCGGUCCAAUUGGUUUGUAUUUUUGGCUCGUUUGACCUAAUUUUGGGCCAAAACCUUUAAAAUAAGUGACCGAUUUUCAAUUUAAAUAUUUUUCUAAGUUUUUUUGCAGUUUUAAUUUCUCACUCGCAGUACCGGACAGACUUAAAUCGGUACUAUCGAUAUGCAUUUUUACGCAAAUUUUCCCCAGAAAAAUACACUUUUUCACUCGAAAAAAUUUACCGAAUCCAAAUCUCUCCUUCAAAUUUUUAAAUUAAUAUUUCUAAAUUUUCGAACCUAUUCCAAAAAAUUAAACUAUUAUUUUAUUUUAAUUAAUCGGUUAAUUAAAUUUCUGGUUCUUACAAUCCUUAAAUCACUGCUACACACUUGGCAACUAAAGAGAGUGCAAGGUCAGCAGAAUGUACAACCACAACUUAAAGAAUUUUUUUCUCUAACAUUCUGCUACAAUGUUCUGAUUUUUCAUAAUUCAAAAUUCAAUUUUUGGAUGCAUUACCUCCAUAUAAAGUGGCACUUAACCAGAUUUUGAAAUCAAGGAAAAUAGAGCAUUUACAACACAUAUUCUUAUUGAAGUUUCAUUCUUUCUUUCAUGGAGUUUACAUAGAAUAUUUCUUUUUUAUCUUUUCUAUCUAUCACUUUUUUGUAACUAAAAAAGGCUGAGUUUCAUCAUAUGAGAAAUCAAAGUAAAUGCUAUGAGAGAAAAAAGGCAAAAGAGGUCAGUUUGAGAAAAGCCAUAAUAUUCAUUUUAUUAUAAUUGGUGUUUUGAUUUCUUGAAUUAGGAUUUGUUCUCUUUUUUAAACUGGGUUAGCACUUGGAGAUUGACUAUGCUUGUGGAGAAGCGUAAUGGUUUGUUGAACCAUGUUAGGUCAUCCUUACUAAGUUGGGAUAAUACUCAGUGUAAAGCUAGGCUAAGUGAGCUUUGUGUUGAGAAGUUUGGUGAAAAGUUUAGGUGAUUCCUAAAUGGAUUAGGUUGUAAUCCUAUGGAAUUGGUGUUUGUUAUUCCCCUGAAAUUAUAGUGAAAUUCUAUUACUAUUAUUAUGGAGACGGAAUGUAAAUCACAUUGCACUAAAUGGUUGAACCAAGAUACAUAGUAUUGCAAGAUUUGCUUCUUUUCUCUUCUCUGCA
Molecule: non-coding RNA, 4039 nt
Organism: Arachis ipaensis
Lineage: Eukaryota; Viridiplantae; Streptophyta; Magnoliopsida; Fabales; Fabaceae
Source: RefSeq, a predicted model, not a curated record